AUUGAACGCUGGCGGCAUGCUUUACACAUGCAAGUCGAACGGCAGCGCGGGCUUCGGCCUGGCGGCGAGUGGCGAACGGGUGAGUAAUACAUCGGAACGUGCCCAGUAGUGGGGGAUAGCUCGGCGAAAGCCGGAUUAAUACCGCAUACGACCUGAGGGUGAAAGCGGGGGAUCUUCGGACCUCGCGCUAUUGGAGCGGCCGAUAGCAGAUUAGCUAGUUGGUGGGGUAAAGGCCUACCAAGGCGACGAUCUGUAGCUGGUCUGAGAGGACGACCAGCCACACUGGGACUGAGACACGGCCCAGACUCCUACGGGAGGCAGCAGUGGGGAAUUUUGGACAAUGGGCGAAAGCCUGAUCCAGCAAUGCCGCGUGUGUGAUGAAGGCCUUCGGGUUGUAAAGCACUUUUGGCGGGAACGAAAAGGACUGUGCCAAUACCACGGUUCGAUGACGGUACCCGCAGAAUAAGCACCGGCUAACUACGUG
RNAcentral lists this ribosomal RNA (484 nucleotides) under uncultured bacterium. RNAcentral's name for it is "partial 16S ribosomal RNA". It matches the Rfam family "Bacterial small subunit ribosomal RNA", at positions 29 to 507 of the family's 1533-position model. The record is from RNAcentral.